GAUGAACGCUGGCGGCGUGCUUAAUACAUGCAAGUCGAGCGGACGGGCGAGUAGCUUGCUAUUCGGAUGUUAGGGGCGGACGAGUGAUUAACACGUGGAUAACCAACUUAUAAUACUGGCGUAACUUUGGGAAACCGGAGCUAAUACCGUAUAAUAUUUUGAACCUCAUGGGUCAAAAGUUAUAGACGGUCUUGCUGUCACUUAUAUAUGGACUCGCUGUGAAUUUGCUAGUUGGUAAGGCAACGGCUUACUAAGGCAACGAUGCAGAGCAGACCGGAGAGGGGGAUCGGCCACACUGGAACUGAGACACGGGCCAGACGCCUACGGGAGGCAGCAGUAGGGAAUCUUCCGCAAUGGGCGGAAGCCUGACGGAGCAACGCCGCGUGAGUGAUGAAGGUCUUCGGAUCGUAAAACUCUGUUAUUAGGGAAGAACAUAUGUGUACGGAACUGUGCACAGCUUGACGGUACCUAAUCAGAAAGCCACGGCUAACUACGUG
RNAcentral lists this ribosomal RNA (497 nucleotides) under uncultured bacterium. RNAcentral describes it as "partial 16S ribosomal RNA". It matches the Rfam family "Bacterial small subunit ribosomal RNA", at positions 28 to 507 of the family's 1533-position model. The record is from RNAcentral.